AUGCUGUACGAGGCCGGCCGGCUCGUCGGCUGCCACUACUGCCAACUGCCCAACGUCACGGACCUCACGCCGCGGUACGCACUGCGCAUGGCCACGAGGGCCGCGCUGCGGGCGCUGUCCGGCGCCGACGGCCGGUUCCGCGGCACGGCGCUGCUGCGCACAGUGGACCCGUCGCAGUACGAGGGCGGGCAGUGGAACAGCGAGGACGGGAACUGCGUGCGGACGGCGCCGUCCCGGCGCGGCGAGAGGAGGGUCGAGGGCUUCGAGCGCGACUUCCGCGAGCUGCAGCGGGAGGAGUUUGCGGCGGCGGCGGAGAGGGCGGCGGCCACGGGCAAUGUCAGGAUGAUGCUGAUGGACACGACGGAGGCGAUGAUACUGCGGGCCGACGCGCAUCCCAGCAAGUACCGGGGCUGGACGCCGGAGAAGCACUUCACCCUGUACAACGACUGCGUGCACUGGUGCCUGCCGGGGGCCAUCGAUACCUGGAACGACAUGCUGCUCCAUAUGCUCAACUCUACAUAA
Molecule: ribosomal RNA, 522 nt
Filed under: Triticum aestivum (bread wheat)
Lineage: Eukaryota; Viridiplantae; Streptophyta; Magnoliopsida; Poales; Poaceae
Description: partial small subunit ribosomal RNA
Source: RNAcentral